CCUACGGGCGGCAGCAGUGGGGAAUAUUGCACAAUGGGGGGAACCCUGAUGCAGCAACGCCGCGUGGAUGAAGAAGGUUUUCGGCUCGUAAAGCCCUAUCGGCAGGGAAGAAAAUGACGGUACCUGACCAAGAAGCCCCGGCUAACUCCGUGCCAGCAGCCGCGGUAAUACGGAGGGUGCAAGCGUUAUCCGGAUUUACUGGGUGUAAAGGGGGCGCAGACGGGAAUGCAAGUCAGAAGUGAAAGCCUAUGGCCUAACCCCAGGACUGCAUUUGAAACUGCAAGGCUGGAGUAUAGGAGGGGCAGGUGGAAUUCUUGGUGUAGGGGUGAAAUGCGUAGAGAUUAGGAAGAAUACGCGUGGCGAAGGCGAGCUUCUGGACCGUAACUGACGCUGAGGCUCGAAAGCGUGGGGAGCAAACAGGAUUAGAUACCCUAGUAGUC
RNAcentral lists this ribosomal RNA (440 nucleotides) under uncultured bacterium. RNAcentral describes it as "partial 16S ribosomal RNA". It matches the Rfam family "Bacterial small subunit ribosomal RNA", at positions 338 to 795 of the family's 1533-position model. The record is from RNAcentral.